UCAAAACUGCCUCUAGACAUGUUGGCACGUAUUGAAGCCUGUAUAGAAGUGAAUUUUUUAUGGUUUUAUGGUGGUUUUUGUUGGGUUUUUUGAUACCCAAUAAUUCGGGCGAUGAUUUAAAAUAGUUGUCGGAUUAUUUAUCGACACCAUGGACUUGGCUAGACUCAGAGAUGAACUACACUUUUGGAUGGUUCGGGUUUGGGUUGGAUGAUUAUUUAGUUAGUUGGAUCAUUUAGUAAUUAAUAUGGAGUUGAAU
RNAcentral lists this long non-coding RNA (256 nucleotides) under Olea europaea (common olive). Its description in RNAcentral is "long non-coding RNA (OEUR_LNC001310)". The record is from RNAcentral. Lineage: Eukaryota; Viridiplantae; Streptophyta; Magnoliopsida; Lamiales; Oleaceae.